Molecule: ribosomal RNA, 567 nt
Filed under: uncultured bacterium
Lineage: Bacteria
Description: bacterial SSU rRNA
Rfam family: Bacterial small subunit ribosomal RNA
Source: RNAcentral
GUCGUACGAAAAAGAAAUUUUUAGUGGCGAACGGGUGAGUAACGCGUGAGAAUUUGCUUUUAGGUAGAGGAUAACUGGUAGAAAUACCAGCUAAUACUCUAUAAUCCUAUUUCUAAAAUAGUUAAAAAAAGAAAUUUGCCUAGAAAAAAGCUCGCGUCUGAUUAGCUAGUUGGUAAGGUAAAGGCUUACCAAGGCGACGAUCAGUAGCUGAUUUGAGAGGAUGAUCAGCCACACUGGAACUGAGACACGGUCCAGACUCCUACGGGAGGCAGCAGUGAGGAAUUUUCUGCAAUGGGCGAAAGCCUGACAGAGCAAUACCGCGUGAGGGAAUAAGAAGGCCUAUGGGUUGUAAACCUCUUUUCUCAAAGAAGAAGAUCUGACGUUAUUUGAGGAAUAAGCAUCGGCUAACCCUGUGCCAGCAGCCGCGGUAAGACAGGGGAUGCAAGUGUUAUCCGGAAUUAUUGGGCGUAAAGCGUCUGUAGGUUGAAUUCAAAGUCUUUUGUAAAAUCUUUAAGCUUAACUUAAAAACCGCAAAAGAUACUAGUUUUCUUGAGUAUGGUAGAGGUA